Molecule: ribosomal RNA, 486 nt
Filed under: uncultured bacterium
Lineage: Bacteria
Description: partial 16S ribosomal RNA
Rfam family: Bacterial small subunit ribosomal RNA
Source: RNAcentral
AUUGAACGCUGGCGGUAUGCCUUACACAUGCAAGUCGAACGGCAGCACGGGAGCUUGCUCCUGGUGGCGAGUGGCGAACGGGGGCGUAAUAGAUAGGCACCUGUCCUGACGUGGGGGAUAGCGAGGAGGAAGCCGGACUAAUACUGCAUACGCUCUACGGAUGAAAGUGAAGGCCCGUCAGGUUUCGCGCUUUCGGGAUGGCAGAUGGCGGAUUAGCUAGUUGGUGGGGUAAAGGCCUACCAAGGCGACGAUCAGUAGCUGGUCUGAGAGGACGACCAGCCACACUGGAACUGAGACACGGUCCAGACUCCUACGGGAGGCAGCAGUGGGGAAUUUUGGACAAUGGGCGAAAGCCUGAUCCAGCAAUGCCGCGUGUGUGAAGAAGGCCUUCGGGUUGUAAAGCACUUUUGUCCGGAAAGAAAUCCUUGACCCUAAUACGGUGGUGGGAUGACGGUACCGGAAGAAUAAGCACCGGCUAACUUCGUG